RNAcentral lists this ribosomal RNA (501 nucleotides) under uncultured bacterium. RNAcentral's name for it is "bacterial SSU rRNA". It matches the Rfam family "Bacterial small subunit ribosomal RNA", at positions 355 to 875 of the family's 1533-position model. The record is from RNAcentral.
UGGGGAAUCUUAGACAAUGGGCGCAAGCCUGAUCUAGCCAUGCCGCGUGAGUGAUGAAGGCCUUAGGGUCGUAAAGCUCUUUCGCCUGUGAUGAUAAUGACAGUAGCAGGUAAAGAAACCCCGGCUAACUCCGUGCCAGCAGCCGCGGUAAUACGGAGGGGGUUAGCGUUGUUCGGAAUUACUGGGCGUAAAGCGCACGUAGGCGGAUUGGAAAGUUGGGGGUGAAAUCCCGGGGCUCAACCCCGGAACUGCCUCCAAAACUAUCAGUCUAGAGUUCGAGAGAGGUGAGUGGAAUUCCAAGUGUAGAGGUGAAAUUCGUAGAUAUUUGGAGGAACACCAGUGGCGAAGGCGGCUCACUGGCUCGAUACUGACGCUGAGGUGCGAAAGUGUGGGGAGCAAACAGGAUUAGAUACCCUGGUAGUCCACACCGUAAACGAUGAAUGCCAGUCGUCGGGCAGUAUACUGUUCGGUGACACACCUAACGGAUUAAGCAUCCGCCUG